AGAGUUUGAUCCUGGCUCAGAACGAACGCUGGCGGCAUGCCUAACACAUGCAAGUCGAACGAGAUCUUCGGGUCUAGUGGCGCACGGGUGCGUAACGCGUGGGAAUCUGCCCUUUGGUUCGGAAUAACAGUUGGAAACGACUGCUAAUACCGGAUGAUGACGAAAGUCCAAAGAUUUAUCGCCAGAGGAUGAGCCCGCGUAGGAUUAGCUAGUUGGUGUGGUAAAGGCGCACCAAGGCGACGAUCCUUAGCUGGUCUGAGAGGAUGAUCAGCCACACUGGGACUGAGACACGGCCCAGACUCCUACGGGAGGCAGCAGUGGGGAAUAUUGGACAAUGGGCGAAAGCCUGAUCCAGCAAUGCCGCGUGAGUGAUGAAGGCCUUAGGGUUGUAAAGCUCUUUUACCCGGGAUGAUAAUGACAGUACCGGGAGAAUAAGCUCCGGCUAACUCCGUGCCAGCAGCCGCGGUAAUACGGAGGGAGCUAGCGUUGUUCGGA
Molecule: ribosomal RNA, 495 nt
Filed under: uncultured bacterium
Lineage: Bacteria
Description: bacterial SSU rRNA
Rfam family: Bacterial small subunit ribosomal RNA
Source: RNAcentral